UACAGAGGGUGCAAGCGUUGUCCGGAAUUAUUGGGCGUAAAGAGCUCGUAGGCGGUUUGUCGCGUCUGCUGUGAAAACUCAGGGCUUAACCCUGAGCCUGCAGUGGGUACGGGCAGACUAGAGUGUGGUAGGGGAGAUCGGAAUUCCUGGUGUAGCGGUGGAAUGCGCAGAUAUCAGGAGGAACACCGGUGGCGAAGGCGGAUCUCUGGGCCAUAACUGACGCUGAGGAGCGAAAGCAUGGGGAGCGAACAGGA
RNAcentral lists this ribosomal RNA (254 nucleotides) under uncultured bacterium. Its description in RNAcentral is "partial 16S ribosomal RNA". It matches the Rfam family "Bacterial small subunit ribosomal RNA", at positions 524 to 777 of the family's 1533-position model. The record is from RNAcentral.